This 119-nucleotide ribosomal RNA is filed under the name Esox lucius (northern pike). The record is from RNAcentral. Lineage: Eukaryota; Metazoa; Chordata; Actinopteri; Esociformes; Esocidae.
GCUUACGGCCACACCUCCCUGAGCACGCCCGAUCUCGUAUGAUCUCGGAAGCUAAGCAGUGUCGGGGCCCGGUUAGUACUUGAUGGGAGACCGCCUGGAAUACCCCGGUGCUGUAAGCC